UACAGAGGGGGCAAGCGUUGUUCGGAAUUACUGGGCGUAAAGGGCUCGUAGGCUGCCAACUAAGUCAGACGUGAAAUCCCUCGGCUUAACCGGGGAACUGCGUCUGAUACUGGAUGGCUUGAGAUUGGGAGAGGGAUGCGGAAUUCCAGGUGUAGCGGUGAAAUGCGUAGAAAUCAGGAAGAACACCGGUGGCGAAAGCGCUCUGCUGGACCUUAACUGACACUGAGGGACGAAAGCUAGGGGAGCGAAUGGG
This 253-nucleotide ribosomal RNA is filed under the name uncultured bacterium. Its description in RNAcentral is "partial 16S ribosomal RNA". It matches the Rfam family "Bacterial small subunit ribosomal RNA", at positions 524 to 776 of the family's 1533-position model. The record is from RNAcentral.